Molecule: ribosomal RNA, 253 nt
Filed under: uncultured bacterium
Lineage: Bacteria
Also listed under: 1 other name
Description: partial 16S ribosomal RNA
Rfam family: Bacterial small subunit ribosomal RNA
Source: RNAcentral
UACGAAGGGGGCUAGCGUUGCUCGGAAUCACUGGGCGUAAAGCGCACGUAGGCGGCUUUUUAAGUCAGGGGUGAAAUCCUGGAGCUCAACUCCAGAACUGCCUUUGAUACUGAGAAGCUUGAGUUCGGGAGAGGUGAGUGGAACUGCGAGUGUAGAGGUGAAAUUCGUAGAUAUUCGCAAGAACACCAGUGGCGAAGGCGGCUCACUGGCCCGAUACUGACGCUGAGGUGCGAAAGCGUGGGGAGCAAACAGG